This 497-nucleotide ribosomal RNA is filed under the name uncultured bacterium. RNAcentral's name for it is "partial 16S ribosomal RNA". It matches the Rfam family "Bacterial small subunit ribosomal RNA", at positions 28 to 507 of the family's 1533-position model. The record is from RNAcentral.
GAUGAACGCUGGCGGCGUGCCUAAUACAUGCAAGUCGAACGAACAGAUCGGGAGCUUUCUCCUCUGACGUUGUCGGCGGACGGGUGAUUAACACGUGUAUAACCUACCUAUAAGACUGGGAUGACUUCGUGGAACCGGAUCUAAUACCGGAUAAUAUAUUGAACCUGAUUGUGCAAUAGUUAGAUACGGUUUUUCUUUCACUUAUAGAUGGAUCCGCGUCGAAUUAACUAGUUGGUAAGGUAACGGCUUACCAACGCAACGAUGCGUAGCCGACCUGAGAGGGUGAUCGGACACACUGGAAGUGAGACACGGUCCAGACUCCUACGGUAGGCAGCAGUAGGGACUCUUACGCAAUGGGGGAAAGCCUGACGGAGCAACGCCGCGUGAGUGAUGAAGGUCUUCGGAUCGUAGAGCUCUGUUGUUAGGAAAGAACAAAUGUGUAUGUAACUAUGAACGUCUUGACGGUACCUAAUGAGAAAGCCACGGCUAACUACGUG